This 545-nucleotide ribosomal RNA is filed under the name uncultured bacterium. RNAcentral's name for it is "bacterial SSU rRNA". It matches the Rfam family "Bacterial small subunit ribosomal RNA", at positions 8 to 526 of the family's 1533-position model. The record is from RNAcentral.
AGAGUUUGAUCAUGGCUCAGAACGAACGCUGGCGGCGUGGAUAAGACAUGCAAGUCGAACGCUAAUUAGAAGGUAGCAAUAUUUUCUAGUUGGAGUGGCGCAAGGGUGCGUAACACGUGGGUAAUCUGCCGUGAAGCCUGGGAUAACUCGCUGAAAGGCGAGCUAAUACCGGAUGUGACUGUUGGGAGGCAUCUUCCGACAUUGGAAGCUGGGGACCGAAAGGCCUGGCGCUUCACGAUGAGCCUGCGGCCUAUCAGCUAGUUGGUGAGGUAACGGCUCACCAAGGCAAAGACGGGUAGCUGGUCUGAGAGGACGACCAGCCACACUGGAACUGAGACACGGUCCAGACACCUACGGGUGGCAGCAGUCGAGAAUUUUUCACAAUGGGCGCAAGCCUGAUGGAGCGACGCCGCGUGGGGGAUGAAGGGUUUCGAUCCGUAAACCCCUGUCAUUUGCGAACAAACCUUGAGAGAUAACACCUUUCAAGCUGAUUGUAGUGAAAGAGGAAGGGACGGCUAACUCUGUGCCAGCAGCCGCGGUAAUAC